UGCGCGUAAGCCUCCGACGAUAUUUCUGAUCGCGGCUGAGGAAUCCGGCGACCGGCUCGGUUCAGGCUUGAUCAAGGCCUUGCGCGAGCGGUUAGGGCCGGCAGCGAACAUCGUCGGGGGUGGCGGUGGUCACAUGGGCCAGGGGAUGAUGUCUGUCGUCCCGAUCGACGAACUCGCGAUCAUUGGUUUUAUGGCCAUCCCGAAGCGGUUGCCGGUGAUCCUUCGCCGCAUUCGUGAGGCGACGGACGAAGUCCUAAAACAGCGGCCUGACGUUCUGGUUAUCAUCGACAGCCCG
Molecule: unclassified non-coding RNA, 295 nt
Filed under: Hevea brasiliensis (rubber tree)
Lineage: Eukaryota; Viridiplantae; Streptophyta; Magnoliopsida; Malpighiales; Euphorbiaceae
Source: RNAcentral